UACGUAGGGUGCGAGCGUUGUCCGGAAUUAUUGGGCGUAAAGGGCUCGUAGGCGGUCUGUUGCGUCGGGAGUGAAAACUCAGGGCUUAACCCAGAGCCUGCAUCCAAAACUAGCAGGCUAGAGUUCUGGAGGGGAUAGCGGAAUUCCUGGUGUAGCGGUGAAAUGCGUAGAUAUCAGGAGGAACACCGGUGGCGAAGGCGGCUAUCUGGACAGAAACUGACGCUGAGGCGCGAAAGCUAGGGGAGCAAACAGG
RNAcentral lists this ribosomal RNA (253 nucleotides) under uncultured bacterium. Its description in RNAcentral is "partial 16S ribosomal RNA". It matches the Rfam family "Bacterial small subunit ribosomal RNA", at positions 524 to 776 of the family's 1533-position model. The record is from RNAcentral.